UCUCAGAGCUGGAAUGGCAGUUAAAAGGUCUAAAACCCUCCUUUCCAAGAAAGGAAACAGAGGCAGAAAGGAGAAGAGUGACUGACUUUCCUAGGGCCAUGAACCCCAUUAGUGUUAAAGCAAGGGACAGAAUUCUGGUACCCCUGACCCCUCAAGGCAGAUGGGCCUCAUAAGGAUUCCUACCAGGUGGCAGGCAGUUUGAGCUAAUGUGGACACACGGAGUCCAUGGAAACGGAUAACAAGUGAACAUGCCACUCACCGGGGUACCCUGUCCAAUUGCUGCUGCUGGAGAACUAGAAACCAUACGUGAGUGUUGACCACAUAGCCUUGCACCAUCCAGCUCGGCUUCUGGAGAACUAGGGACCACAUAGCCUUGCACCAUCCAGCUUGGUAGUUACUAGCCCUAUGUAUUGCUUUACAUGUAUUUUAUUUUCCUUGCUUUUUUAUCUUGUAAUCUGAUCAACCCAUUAGAAUUUGGAAAUUUUAGCAAAAGCAACCCAAGUCCUGAGUUUGUCCGUUUGUUUAGCUCAUGUCAAAAGGGGAAAUGGGAAAUUGGUUUCAUGGCAAUAGAAGGACAGGGAGAUGGUCUUAGGAACUGCAGACUUCAGGGACUCAAAUGAUGUCACGGCCACAAUUUAUCAUCGCCGUGAUACCCCCUUCUUGACUUUCUGGGCCCUGCGUAGUUUUUACUUGUACACUGGCUUCCUCUCCGAGCAAGACAUCUGACCUCUGGAGGCUUGCAUGGCUGUCUCCCUCCUCUGGGUCUGUUCCUUCCUUCAGGGAAAAGGGAGGGAGGAGUGGGGAGGGGGGCAGAGAGGAGGGAAGAGAAAGGCUUAUAAGCCUCGGGAAACUUAAUAAGGCUCCGGAGUUGAGGUUCCCCUCCACCCACAAGUUGCACAGAGAGCUCCGAGCUCCUCCGGUGACUCAGCUUUUGUGAGUCAUCACCCAUGCUAGGUGACAAAUAUUCCUGAGUCACCCCCACUCCUGUUAAGCGACCAUUAUUAAACUUAUUGGUUCAUCAAGCUGAACUUGGGAGGGGCCAUUCGUUGGGCUCUGUUGUUGGUGC
RNAcentral lists this long non-coding RNA (1066 nucleotides) under Cricetulus griseus (Chinese hamster). RNAcentral's name for it is "lncRNA (ENSCGRG00015036921.1)". Lineage: Eukaryota; Metazoa; Chordata; Mammalia; Rodentia; Cricetidae. The record is from RNAcentral.